This 465-nucleotide ribosomal RNA is filed under the name uncultured bacterium. RNAcentral's name for it is "partial 16S ribosomal RNA". It matches the Rfam family "Bacterial small subunit ribosomal RNA", at positions 338 to 795 of the family's 1533-position model. The record is from RNAcentral.
CCUACGGGUGGCAGCAGUAGGGAAUCUUCCACAAUGGGCGAAAGCCUGAUGGAGCAACGCCGCGUGGGUGAAGAAGGUCUUCGGAUCGUAAAACCCUGUUGUUAGAGAAGAAAGUGCGUGAGAGUAACUGUUCACGUUUCGACGGUACCUAACCAGAAAGCCACGGCUAACUACGUGCCAGCAGCCGCGGUAAUACGUAGGUGGCAAGCGUUAUCCGGAGUGAUUGGGCGUAAAGGGAACGCAGGCGGUCUUUUAAGUCUGAUGGGAAAGCCUUCGGCUUAACCGGGGUAGUGCAUUGGAAACGGGGAGACUUGAGGGCAGAAGAGGAGAGUGGAACUCCAGGUGUAGCGGUGAAAUGCGUAGAGAUAUGGAAGAACACCAGUGGCGAAGGCGGCUCUCUGGUCUGUAACUGACGCUGAGGUUCGAAAGCGUGGGUAGCAAACAGGAUUAGAUACCCCAGUAGUC